GCGGGUAUAGUUCAGUGGUAGAACCUCAGCCUUCCAAGCUGUUGGCGCGAGUUCGAUUCUCGCUACCCGCUCCA
Molecule: transfer RNA, 74 nt
Filed under: Gammaproteobacteria bacterium
Lineage: Bacteria; Pseudomonadati; Pseudomonadota; Gammaproteobacteria
Also listed under: 1 other name
Description: tRNA-Gly
Rfam family: tRNA
About the family: Transfer RNA (tRNA) molecules are approximately 80 nucleotides in length.
Source: RNAcentral